AACGAACGCUGGCGGCAGGCCUAACACAUGCAAGUCGAGCGAGCAUUUCGGUGCUAGCGGCGGACGGGUGAGUAACGCGUGGGAACGUGCCCUUUUCUGCGGAAUAGUCCUGGGAAACUGGGGGUAAUACCGCAUACGCCCUCUUGGGGAAAGAUUUAUCGGAGAAGGAUCGGCCCGCGUUGGAUUAGGUAGUUGGUGGGGUAAUGGCCCACCAAGCCGACGAUCCAUAGCUGGGUUGAGAGGAUGAUCAGCCACACUGGGACUGAGACACGGCCCAGAAUCCUACGGGAGGCAGCAGUGGGGAAUCUUAGACAAUGGGGGCAACCCUGAUCUAGCCAUGCCGGGUGAGUGAUGAAGGCCUUAGGGUUGUAAAGCUCUUUCAGCUGGGAAGAUAAUGACGGUACCAGCAGAAGAAGCCCCGGCUAACUCCGUG
This 433-nucleotide ribosomal RNA is filed under the name uncultured bacterium. Its description in RNAcentral is "partial 16S ribosomal RNA". It matches the Rfam family "Bacterial small subunit ribosomal RNA", at positions 29 to 507 of the family's 1533-position model. The record is from RNAcentral.